RNAcentral lists this ribosomal RNA (465 nucleotides) under Vreelandella stevensii. Its description in RNAcentral is "partial 16S ribosomal RNA". It matches the Rfam family "Bacterial small subunit ribosomal RNA", at positions 338 to 795 of the family's 1533-position model. The record is from RNAcentral. Lineage: Bacteria; Pseudomonadati; Pseudomonadota; Gammaproteobacteria; Oceanospirillales; Halomonadaceae.
CCUACGGGUGGCAGCAGUGGGGAAUAUUGGACAAUGGGGGCAACCCUGAUCCAGCCAUGCCGCGUGUGUGAAGAAGGCCCUCGGGUUGUAAAGCACUUUCAGUGAGGAAGAACUCCUGGUGGUUAAUACCCAUCAGGAAAGACAUCACUCACAGAAGAAGCACCGGCUAACUCCGUGCCAGCAGCCGCGGUAAUACGGAGGGUGCGAGCGUUAAUCGGAAUUACUGGGCGUAAAGCGCGCGUAGGUGGCUUGAUAAGCCGGUUGUGAAAGCCCCGGGCUCAACCUGGGAACGGCAUCCGGAACUGUCAAGCUAGAGUGCAGGAGAGGAAGGUAGAAUUCCCGGUGUAGCGGUGAAAUGCGUAGAGAUCGGGAGGAAUACCAGUGGCGAAGGCGGCCUUCUGGACUGACACUGACACUGAGGUGCGAAAGCGUGGGUAGCAAACAGGAUUAGAUACCCCAGUAGUC